RNAcentral lists this ribosomal RNA (390 nucleotides) under uncultured bacterium. Its description in RNAcentral is "bacterial SSU rRNA". It matches the Rfam family "Bacterial small subunit ribosomal RNA", at positions 28 to 420 of the family's 1533-position model. The record is from RNAcentral.
GAUUAACGCUGGCGGCGUGCUUAACACAUGCAAGUCGAGCGGUAAGGCCCUUUCGGGGGUACACGAGCGGCGAACGGGUGAGUAACACGUGGGUGACCUGCCUUUAGCUCUGGGAUAAGCCUGGGAAACUGGGUCUAAUACCGGAUACGACUCCGCGGUGCAUGCUGUGGGUGGAAAGCCUUGUGCGGCUGGAGAUGGGCCCGCGGCCUAUCAGCUUGUUGGUGGGGUGAUGGCCUACCAAGGCGACGACGGGUAGCCGGCCUGAGAGGGCGACCGGCCACACUGGGACUGAGACACGGCCCAGACUCCUACGGGAGGCAGCAGUGGGGAAUCUUGCGCAAUGGGCGAAAGCCUGACGCAGCGACGCCGCGUGAGGGAUGACGGCCUCGG